This 240-nucleotide long non-coding RNA is filed under the name Olea europaea (common olive). Its description in RNAcentral is "long non-coding RNA (OEUR_LNC005316)". Lineage: Eukaryota; Viridiplantae; Streptophyta; Magnoliopsida; Lamiales; Oleaceae. The record is from RNAcentral.
GCGCCGUGAAACUGUUGAAACUGUGCAAUUAGCUUUUUAGCCAUCACAGAAUAAGGGGCCUUCUCAUAAUCAUAAACCUAAGGUAAUAAGACCCAUCGAAGUCAGCAAAAUAAAAAUUUUGGUGGUCCCAAAGCAGUUAGAAAGAAAAAUGAUCAAUGCAAGUUCUAUAAAAAGAAGGGUCACUGGUAGAAAGACUGUUUUAAGUUCAAGACUUGGUUGGAAAAGAAGAGGAGUUCUCCA